GACGAACGCUGGCGGCGUGCCUAAUACAUGCAAGUAGAACGCUGAAGCUUGGUGCUUGCACCGAGCGGAUGAGUUGCGAACGGGUGAGUAACGCGUAGGUAACCUGCCUGGUAGCGGGGGAUAACUAUUGGAAACGAUAGCUAAUACCGCAUAACAGUAGAUAUCGCAUGAUAUGUGCUUGAAAGGUGCAAUUGCAUCACUACCAGAUGGACCUGCGUUGUAUUAGCUAGUUGGUGAGGUAACGGCUCACCAAGGCAACGAUACAUAGCCGACCUGAGAGGGUGAUCGGCCACACUGGGACUGAGACACGGCCCAGACUCCUACGGGAGGCAGCAGUAGGGAAUCUUCGGCAAUGGACGGAAGUCUGACCGAGCAACGCCGCGUGAGUGAAGAAGGUUUUCGGAUCGUAAAGCUCUGUUGUAAGAGAAGAACGAGUGUGAGAGUGGAAAGUUCACACUGUGACGGUAUCUUACCAGAAAGGGACGGCUAACUACGUGCCAGCAGCCGCGGUAAUACGUAGGUCCCGAGCGUUGUCCGGAUUUAUUGGGCGUAAAGCGAGCGCAGGCGGUUAGAUAAGUCUGAAGUUAAAGGCUGUGGCUUAACCAUAGUACGCUUUGGAAACUGUUUAACUUGAGUGCAAGAGGGGAGAGUGGAAUUCCAUGUGUAGCGGUGAAAUGCGUAGAUAUAUGGAGGAACACCGGUGGCGAAAGCGGCUCUCUGGCUUGUAACUGACGCUGAGGCUCGAAAGCGUGGGGAGCAAACAGG
Molecule: ribosomal RNA, 765 nt
Filed under: uncultured Streptococcus sp.
Lineage: Bacteria; Bacillati; Bacillota; Bacilli; Lactobacillales; Streptococcaceae
Description: bacterial SSU rRNA
Rfam family: Bacterial small subunit ribosomal RNA
Source: RNAcentral